This 72-nucleotide transfer RNA is filed under the name Camelus bactrianus (Bactrian camel). It matches the Rfam family "tRNA". Rfam says of the family: Transfer RNA (tRNA) molecules are approximately 80 nucleotides in length. Their secondary structure includes four short double-helical elements and three loops (D, anti-codon, and T loops). RNAcentral also lists the same sequence under 2 other names. The record is from Rfam by way of RNAcentral. Lineage: Eukaryota; Metazoa; Chordata; Mammalia; Artiodactyla; Camelidae.
GGUGGUAUAGCUCAAUGGUAGAGCAUGUGCCAUGCAUGCAUGAGGUCCUGGCUUCAAUCCCUAGUACCUCCC